Molecule: ribosomal RNA, 369 nt
Filed under: uncultured eukaryote
Lineage: Eukaryota
Description: partial 18S ribosomal RNA
Rfam family: Eukaryotic small subunit ribosomal RNA
Source: RNAcentral
CAAUAGCGUAUAUUAAAGUUGUUGCAGUUAAAAAGCUCGUAGUUGAAUUUCUGUCAGGAGUGACCGGGCCUUUGGAUGAACUUCCAUUGUUUUUGCUCUGUUUGUCGUCUCUAGACAUCCUGAAAUAUUUUUUUGAAAUAUUCCUCUUUUACUGUUAGCAAAAUAGAGUGUUCCAAGCAAAGCGUAGUUUUGAAUACAUUAGAAUGGAAUAAUAAGAUAGGACUUUGGUGCUAUUUUGUUGGUUUGCACACCAAGGUAAUGAUUAAUAGGGACAGUUGGGGGUAUUCGUAUUUAAUUGUCAGAGGUGAAAUUCUUGGAUUUAUGAAAGACGAACUACUGCGAAAGCAUUUACCAAGGAUGUUUNCAUUA